CGGGAACACGUACAGAACCUUCCUUUAAGCGGGGGAUAGCCCAUAGAAAUGUGGAUUAAUACCCCAUAAUAUUAUUGACUGGCAUCAGUUGAUAAUUAAAGAUUUAUCACUUAAAGAUGGCUGUGCGGCUGAUUAGGUAGUUGGUUGGGGUAACGGCCCACCAAGCCAUCGAUCAGUAACUGGUAUGAGAGCACGACCAGUCACACGGGCACUGAGACACGGGCCCG
This 227-nucleotide ribosomal RNA is filed under the name uncultured bacterium. Its description in RNAcentral is "partial 16S ribosomal RNA". It matches the Rfam family "Bacterial small subunit ribosomal RNA", at positions 108 to 334 of the family's 1533-position model. The record is from RNAcentral.